Varroa destructor (honeybee mite) is the source of this 1798-nucleotide long non-coding RNA. RefSeq lists it as uncharacterized. NCBI's taxonomy places the organism in Eukaryota, Metazoa, Arthropoda, Arachnida, Mesostigmata, Varroidae. The record is from RefSeq and is a predicted model, not a curated record.
UGACUGGCUGGCUGGCUGGCUGGCUGGCUGGCUGGCUGGCUGGCCGGCCGAAUCACUGCUCUAUACUAAGAAAUCUGUUUGCGCUGUUCGAGGGACCGCCGCUGUCGGAAUCAACAGCAGUCUGUACUGUCCCGGAGACGACUGUCGCCGCUGCGGAUUUGCACGAUCGCUACUGCUGCUGCCACCGUCGUUGUUAAUAGCGUUGCUUAUAACAAAAACUACCACGAUGCCAAGCAGAAAGUGGGAAAGAAGGACGUUUUCGGCGACGGCGGCAGCCGAACCAGUAGUUUUUUUAUCGUAGCCGGCAAAGGCGGUCACGGUAAGCAGGAGCCGUCUUCUGCAGUUUAAAUGUGCGAGUGCUGUGAAGAAGUGGCGGAAAGUCGUCUGUAGCGUGUCCUGCACCGCAGAUUCGCGACGGCGCCAUAGACAAACGGGCGACUGGAGAUGGCGAAGGAGUACGGAUUUCGAUGAACCUCAAACUGUCAGAGACAAACCGAAAUAACAACUUCGUCAUUAUUCAACUUAGGUCGUUGCAUCAAUAAUGCUAGAAUUAUUUUACUGUGGUCGUCUAUGCAAAUAGAAGACUCUGACGUGCAAAAAGCGUGGUGAAGAAGCUACUUUGAUUGAGAGGUGGCUCUGUCAGAAAAGUGUGGGAACUCAGAGAGCCAUCUCGCGGCGGUGUGCUUGUUUCCGUGGAUUACUUCGUCGACAAUUCCUCAAAAUCUGUCAGUGUAAUUGAGUGAAUGAGGGCAGUUGGAAAGGGAUUGAUCAGCAUCUGAGCGAGAAACAGAAGGAAAUUCCCGAACAAUAUUAUUAAACGGAUAUUAGCGACCUGUUUUCCUCAUCUAGUUAGUGGCCUCUUUUCGUGUGCACUACAGCGCCGAUGUGCUCUCAUUCAUUUUGAUGCACAUUGUGCACAUGUGAAUAUCGUGCUUAGCUGAUCUUCGUCAUCUACUUGUUAUUGUUACCCGCUUUCUAACAGGAUUUACUUCAUUAGAAGAUACAGUCUUCCUCCCUGCUUCUGCUGUUCUUCCAGAGAGCGUCAAAAUUACUACUACGUCAAACGAAAAUAUACUCGAAAAAACGGUAUCAUUUGUCGUUAUUGGUUACAGGAGCAGAAGUCGUACAUCGUUUAGAUAACGUGUCAUGUUAUUUCUUGGCUUCAUUGUUUUGAUCAUGGUAGUGGCAAGCAACGUCCAUUCAUCGUGAGUGCAGUAUCCGCCCGCGAUACACCGCGUCUUCGCGAUAUUCCGCUCAGGCUUGAUGCACACCGAAUACGCGACUCAUAGUGUCCUUAAACAAAAGAGGAAAACACUUUCAUCGGUGAUUUUACGUCAAAAUUACAUCAGCUGUUUGAGAUCUUUCGCCUGGACAGGAAGUCAACAUCAACGUUACUAGCGCGCUAGGUUCCCUGUUCGUGAAAGUUUUGCCUCACAAGAUUAGGUGAAGCUCGUACCACGCAAUAGCCUAGGAGCGUACUCGAAUCCGCGGUAGGAUGUGUGGGCCAAAGGUGCGCAGCUGACAGCGUGGCUACUGAAUAUCAUCUUGCCGUGGAUGUGGGGCGCGCGCAUGGAAAACAUGCGUCCAAAACAGAUUCUUCUCCAUUGCGCCCCAUAUCUAGGGACCUAUAUUGCCUUAGUAGUGUGUGUGUCAGUGGGGAUCAUCAUCGCGUCGAUCGGCGUCACGUUAGCUCAGCCCAGCAUAGACUUGAAACAGUAUCCGCCUGCUCGGCAUGUUCACGCGGAGAAACAGCGUUAUGACGGCUGGUACAAUAACCUUGCUCAUCAGGAUUGGGGAG